This is a non-coding RNA of Schizosaccharomyces pombe (fission yeast), 2478 nucleotides long. NCBI's taxonomy places the organism in Eukaryota, Fungi, Ascomycota, Schizosaccharomycetes, Schizosaccharomycetales, Schizosaccharomycetaceae. The record is from the annotation of a GenBank genome assembly.
GCGAGAAAUGUUAGGAAAAUAUCCUCGCAUGGCUCAAUUAAGAAAACUGAUAUCAUUUUGCCCAAACUCGGCUUUACAGGUGCUACCAGAAGCGUUUUUGCGGAAAAAGUAGCCGACGAUUUCCGUCUUGAGCGCUGAUGUAUUUGGUCUAUUUGUACAGCUUUAUGGAACAAAUCAUAAACAGAGUUUAGUAUAAAAAUAAUGCCAUAAACAAGGUUAGAGUGUCUGAAGGCUUUGAAAAGCUCACAAUCUCUGAGUAGGUAAAAAUACUAUUGAAACUGGAAAUACGGACUCAAUAUGAUGCUUAGUAGAAAAAAUUUAUAUAUAUGCAAGAAAUUUUUUAUUUUGACAUAAGUACACAGAAUCACCAUUUUAUUCAAAAAAGCACAUGCUUGCCGUAUGAAAUGAAGUAAAUUAAAUUUCCUUUAGCCGUGCGGAUGAAAAUGCCAUUUAGUUAUAGUCAUCAUCCUUAGAACCGGCAACGAUAAUAUCGUUAACUUUGAGUACCAUUCUGCAAAGCUGAGUAGCAAGAAGCAGUUGUUGUUUCUUUCCAAUAAGAGGAUCAAUAACAAACUGCUUUCUCAUAUCAUUACUUCCGGUCUGCAAACAGUCAAUACCAAGAUAUGCCUUGUUUUCUUUUACAUGACGAGCUUUAACUGCUGUAAGAGCUUCGAUGGACGAAAGGCCACUGUUCUCCGCGAGGGCAAGAGGAAUCGUGUCCAAAGCAUCUGCAAAUGCACCCAUGGAAUAUUGAUCAAUACCAGGAAUCUUUUCAGCUUCUUUGGUGACAGCCAAAGAGCAAGAAAUCUCAGCAGCACCACCACCAUACACUACUCUGUUGUCACGUAUCAGAUUACGAACGACACAGAGUGCAUCAUGCAAAGCACGUUUCGCCUCAUCGACAAUCAUCUUAUUGCUUCCUCGUACAAAAACGGUUACGGCUCGAGAGUUGGCACACUUUUCUAUAACUAAAAUCUUAUCACGAGUCGUACCAAACGACACCUCUCUCACUAUACCGGCUGAACCAAGCUUAUCAGACGAAAGAUCCUCAAAUCGGGGCACAAUUCGUCCAUUUGUAGCAAUAGCAAUCAAUUCGAUUUCGGGACCUCCCACCCAACGUACAGCCGGUAAAUUAUUUUGAAGAAGUAGAUGGUUUGCUUCAUCAUCAAAACCCCAUUGACAUAUAACAAGGUUAGCUCCUGCGUCCUUUACAUGCUUAAUCAUUUCCUGAAAUUUUUCCUUCUCAUAAGCUUGAAGGGCUUCAAAUUCACUCACUGAUGUUAUGUCCAACUUAUGCUUAGUUUUUGGCUUUGGUGGUUCAAAAGGGCAGGUUAAAAUAGCAAUCUUUGCAUUUUCAAUACGAUGAGGCAUUUGUGGAUGCGACAUGUCUUUGUCCACCACAACACCCUUUACAAGCUUUGUAUCAUCCACUGAACCACCAACCUUGCCAUCUACUUUAAUGAGUUCAAAAUCAACAUCUUUUCUCUGCAAAUCAGCAACAGAAAGGACCGCGUCCACAGCAAUGUUUGCAAAGUGAUCAUGAGCUUUGGAAACCACUUUACUACCCAAACUAGUCUUAGCAGAACGAAAUAAAUUAGUAGUGUUUUCGGGACUAAAGUCGACAACAUCUGAAAUAGCAUCUAAAUGUUUAACAGCCACCUGGCAUGCCUUUUCGUAACCAUCUGCAAUCCUUAUAGGAUGUAUACCUUUGUCUAUAAGUGCCUCGGCCUGCUCCAGUAAUGCACCUGCUAGUACAACAACACCAGUAGUUCCAUCCCCAAUUUCAUCAUCUUGAGAUUUAGACAACUGAACUAACAGCUUUGCAAUUUGAUGUUCAACCUCCAUUUGGUCGAGGAUUGUAGCACCGUCAUUGGUAACCGUAAUCUCUCCAUCUGGAGAGAUUAAAAUUUUAUCCAGUCCACGGGGACCCAAAGAAGUACGCACAAUAUUAGCAACUGUUUUGGUAGCUAAUAUGUGACUUUUUACAGCAUCAAUUCCAUGCAAUCUUCUCUUCUUUUCCUGGUCACGUACUAAAAUGAAAGGAUUUCCUUGAUCGUCACGGACCAUAACAGCGUUAUCUAGACCGGCCAUUUUGCUCAUCUUGUUAUUGUGAACUGUCGAUGCAAAUGAAUUUCAAGUGAUAAAACUGAACGCUACACUAACCCAAAUCCUUGAAAUACUUUUGAACGAUUUCACAAAGAACCUUAUCUCUUACUUCCCUUUAAAUCGUUGAAAUAACUUGAGGUUCAAGCUUAGGGUGUAUUCUUUAGAAUGUCGUUGAAAGCACGUCUAAUAUGUUGCGGCCCUUCAGCAUUUUACGAACUUCUAUAGAAGAAAUAAGCACUAUAUUUCACUAAUGUAAGCUACGCAGUUUGGUAUCUGAUUUAAGGAUACGUAGAACUGCGGUGAGUUUUCCUUGUGGUCUAUUAUAUUACAAUACACAGGUUGUAUAAGUAGCAACUGAGUAUAGGUAUUGUA